AACUGCCGUUCCAUAUUUUUCUAAAAACUGGAACGAUACAAAGAAGAUUAGCAUGGGCCCUGCCCAAGGAUGACACUCAAAUUCGCGAAGCGUUCUAUAUUUUU
This is a small nuclear RNA of Pipistrellus kuhlii (Kuhl's pipistrelle), 104 nucleotides long. NCBI's taxonomy places the organism in Eukaryota, Metazoa, Chordata, Mammalia, Chiroptera, Vespertilionidae. The record is from RefSeq and is a predicted model, not a curated record.